Non-coding RNA from Paramuricea clavata, 567 nucleotides. The record is from the annotation of a GenBank genome assembly. Lineage: Eukaryota; Metazoa; Cnidaria; Anthozoa; Malacalcyonacea; Plexauridae.
GUAUAUUACUUCACAAUGUCAAUAUAAAUAUGUUUGCAACUUUUUAACAUUAAAUAAAAUUGCAAAGGCACUUUAUAAAAACAACACAAUUUGUACACGAUAGUUUGUACAUGCACGGGACUGUUACUAAAUAGUAUACUGUAAUACUGUAUGUACACUGUUGCAACUUGCCAUCAUAUUACCUACCUACAAAUUUUUGAAGUUUGCCCUUACUCUACUUGUAUUUAUAUUAAAAUUCGCGCUUAUCAGAAGUGCGCGAAACUACAACUGAGCGAAAAAUAAUCCAAAAUAACUGAUACACUCUAGUUUCGAGAACAAAGAAAUUAUUAUAUAUGACAUCAUGCACACUGUGCAUUUUUCAUUCGAUUUGUUGCCGAGAUUUUACGAGUUCAACAAGCAAGCAAUCGGUUAAAGCCCGUUUUCCACUAGGCGAAUUUGUUCGCGCGAAGCGAAAUACACAUUUCGUCAAUGAAAUUCGUCAAUGAUCUGAUUAGUUAGUGAUAUAUUUUUCAUUGACAAUGAAAAAUUUUAUCACUAGCCAAUCAAGAUUGUCGAAAUUUGUUUUUG